RNAcentral lists this ribosomal RNA (404 nucleotides) under uncultured bacterium. RNAcentral describes it as "bacterial SSU rRNA". It matches the Rfam family "Bacterial small subunit ribosomal RNA", at positions 335 to 754 of the family's 1533-position model. The record is from RNAcentral.
ACUCCUACGGGAGGCAGCAGGUGGGGAAUAUUGCACAAUGGGCGCAAGCCUGAUGCAGCAACGCCGUGUGAGUGAAGAAGGUUUUCGGAUCGUAAACUCUGUCCUAAGGGAAGAAACAAAUGACGGUACCUUAGGAGGAAGCCCCGGCUAACUACGUGCCAGCAGCCGCGGUAAUACGUAGGGGGCAAGCGUUAUCCGGAAUCACUGGGCGUAAAGGGUGCGUAGGCGGCUUAGCAAGCCAGGGGUGAAAGGCAUUGGCUCAACCCAAUGUAAGCCUUUGGAACUGUUAGGCUUGAGUGCAGGAGAGGUAAGUGGAAUUCCUAGUGUAGAGGUGAAAUUCGUAGAUAUUAGGAGGAACACCAGUGCGAAGGCGACUUACUGGACUGUAACUGACGCUGAUGCAC